RNAcentral lists this ribosomal RNA (1252 nucleotides) under metagenome. RNAcentral's name for it is "bacterial LSU rRNA". It matches the Rfam family "Bacterial large subunit ribosomal RNA", at positions 1638 to 2912 of the family's 2925-position model. The record is from RNAcentral.
AUGCCUGUACCAUAACCGACACAGGUGGGUAGGUAGAGUAUACUAAGGGGCGCGAGAUAACUCUCUCUAAGGAACUCGGCAAAAUGACUCCGUAACUUCGGGAGAAGGAGUGCCUUAUUUAUAAGGUUGCAAUAACAAGAUCCAAGCAACUGUUUAUCAAAAACACAGGUCUCCGCUAAGUCGUAAGACGAUGUAUGGGGGCUGACGCCUGCCCAGUGCCAGAAGGUUAAAGAAGUUGGUUAGUGUAUGCGAAGCUGAUGACUGAAGCCCUGGUGAACGGCGGCCGUAACAAUAACGGUCCUAAGGUAGCGAAAUUCCUUGUCGGGUAAGUUCCGACCCGCACGAAAGGCGUAAUGAUUUGGAUACUGUCUCGGAGAGAGGCUCGGUGAAAUAGACUUGUCUGUGAAGAUGCGGACUACCUGCACCAGGACAGAAAGACCCUAUGAAGCUUUACUGUAACUUGAAAUUGGAAUUGGACUUUGCUUGCGCAGUAUAGGUGGGAAGCGUUGAAGAUAUUCUUGCGGGAGUAUUGGAGCUAUCAGUGAGAUACCACUCUUGUAAUGUUAGAUUUCUAACUUUGAACCAUAAUCUGGUCAAAGAACAGUUUCAGGUGGGCAGUUUGACUGGGGCGGUCGCCUCCCAAAUGGUAACGGAGGCGUACAAAGGUUUCCUCUGAACGGAUAGAAAUCGUAUCUAGAGUGUAAAGGCAUAAGGAAGCUUGACUGUGAGACCUACAAGUCGAGCAGGGACGAAAGUCGGUCUUAGUGAUCUGACGGUACUGAGUGGAAAGGCCGUCACUCAACGGAUAAAAGUUACUCUAGGAUAACAGGCUGAUCUCCCCCAAGAGUUCACAUCGACGGGGAGGUUUGGCACCUCGAUGUCGGCUCAUCGCAUCCUGGGGCGGUAGUACGUCCCAAGGGUUGGGCUGUUCGCCCAUGAAAGCGGUACGCGAGCUGGGUUCAGAACGUCGUGAGACAGUUCGGUCCAUAUCCGGUGUAGGCGUUAGAAUAUUGAGAGGAGCCUUCUUUAGUACGAGAGGACCGAGAAGGACACACCGCUGGUGUACCAGUUAUCGUGCCAACGGUAAACGCUGGGUAGCUAUGUGUGGAGUGGAUAACCGCUGAAAGCAUCUAAGUGGGAAGCCCACCUCAAGAUGAGUAUUCUGGUGUAAGGUCACGGGAAGACGACCCGUAAAUAGGCACGAGGUGGAAGUGCAGAGAUGUAUGAAGCCGAAGUGUACUAAUAGACCGUC